GACGAACGCUGGCGGCGUGCUUAACACAUGCAAGUCGAGCGGAAAGGCCCUUCGGGGUACUCGAGCGGCGAACGGGUGAGUAACACGUGAGUAACCUGCCCCAGACUUUGGGAUAACCCUCGGAAACGGGGGCUAAUACCGGAUACGACACAGCUUCGCAUGGGGUCUGUGUGGAAAGUUUUUCGGUUUGGGAUGGGCUCGCGGCCUAUCAGCUUGUUGGUGGGGUGAUGGCCUACCAAGGCGACGACGGGUAGCCGGCCUGAGAGGGCGACCGGCCACACUGGGACUGAGUCACGGCCCAGACUCCUACGGGAGGCAGCAGUGGGGAAUAUUGCACAAUGGGCGGAAGCCUGAUGCAGCGACGCCGCGUGAGGGAUGACGGCCUUCGGGUUGUAAACCUCUUUCAGCAGGGACGAAGCGUAAGUGACGGUACCUGCAGAAGAAGCGCCGGCCAACUACGUG
This 462-nucleotide ribosomal RNA is filed under the name uncultured bacterium. Its description in RNAcentral is "partial 16S ribosomal RNA". It matches the Rfam family "Bacterial small subunit ribosomal RNA", at positions 28 to 507 of the family's 1533-position model. The record is from RNAcentral.